Non-coding RNA from Triticum aestivum (bread wheat), 135 nucleotides. The record is from Rfam. NCBI's taxonomy places the organism in Eukaryota, Viridiplantae, Streptophyta, Magnoliopsida, Poales, Poaceae.
UUUGUGCCCACUCCGCCUGGAAAUACAUGUUAUCAAAAUGAAUAAAAGGAGAUGUAUCUAUAUGUAUUUUAGUUUUAGAUACAUCCUUUUUUGUCCGUUUUGAUGACAAGUAUUUUCGAACGGAGGAAGUAGCAA